UCUCUGUAGUGACCAGCAGGGGGCGACUCCUCUGCUCCCAUAGACGUCUAUGAGGAAAUGACUCUACUUCUCUGUAGUGACCAGCAGGGGGCGACUCCUCUGCUCCCAUAGACGUCUAUGAGGAAAUGACUCUACUUCUCUCUGGAUUUAUUCCCAUAGUAAACAUUGUAAACAUGAGUUUAUGGUCUCAGUCUGAUGUUCAUUUAGUGAAUUAUGGUCCAUUUAGAGUCAAACAGACCAUAAAGCAGGGGACGCUUUAGGGCGAGGCUUCCUGUGAUUGACAGUUCCUUCCCAGAUAUCUUUGGUCACUUCCUGUCCACUGGUUGCAGCCAAUAUGGCGACCUGGAGGCGUCGAGCUCUAGCAAGUGAUCUCAGCAUCAUUUGAGGAAGGCUGAAGACACAAAGACGCACACGUCCCACGAACCGGUGCACGUUGUGUUUGUGAGGUCGCGCGACGGCACCAGAGCGCCAGGAUCUACGGCUGAUGGAGAACCAGCUGCUGAGGGGCGGAUGGGAUCCAUCGGCCCUUUUUCCUUCCCAUGAGAAAGGAGGCUCGGACGUGAACACACGCAGCCCGGUUCGUCUGACUGGGAGGACCGGGAGGAGAGCAGUGCAUCCUGGGAGUUGAAGCGAGCUGCUCCCUUCGCUUUCUGACAAUGUCACAGUUCUACAAAAUAAAUAUUCCCUCAGGCCUUGGGAAUCAUUUAGAUGAUUCUGAACACACACAAGGUGAAAACACAUCCGGCUCGCCAUUCACAACAUUUUCAUGGUCUUUCUUUUUUUACUAAACAGAGUGAUUAGUCUCAGCGAGAGAAAAGAAAAUUACUGAUUUGUUCCCUCAAAUGAAUCAUCUCAACCUUUAAUUUCCUCCCCUGAUGUAAUAUCUGCAGUGCUCUGUAAUUACAUGUCAUCAAGUUACUGUAGAGGUUGGAGCUGAAUUUAAAAGGUUGCUGCUCUGCUACGUCGGGGAGACACGAAGGGACAAAUGAACACUGGUGCUGUCACCUGGUCACCUGGUCACCGGGUCACCUGGUCACCUGGUACAGAACCAAGUCCAUCUACAGCGAGAUGAUGCUGCUGUGAACAUGGAUUCACUAGGUGAGACUUUAUUGGACGUGAUCAUUGUGGUGUUGUUUUUUUACAAAAGCAGUGGACAGGAAGUGACCAAAUAAGGACUGAGGAGGACGUUGGUAGAGACCUGUCAAUCAGUGUGUAGCCCCGCCUCUGAAGCAUCGUGUGGUCUGUUUGGCUCUAAAUGGACCAUAAGCUGCUAAAUGUCAUCGACACACAACAGUGUCAACAGGAUUAUAAUUACUGUCAUUAUUAUUAUGGAGGUAGUCGACAGUUAUUGGGUGAAAAAGAUGUUGAAACGGACAAAGCAGAAUAGAUGAGUGAAUAAAUCAAGCUGGACGCGAUGAUCAUUUAUCCGCCGCCUUAAAUGACUUUCAUGUUGAUGGUUUAGUAUUUAAUGGGAUGCAAGUGGUUUCCAGAUAGAUUAUCUUUGUGUUUUCUGGGUCAUGCACUCAUUUAACAGCAUUAACACCGGCACAUAAGGAAUGAGUUAUUAUUCAGCCAGCUACGGACACUAAACAAAGGGUUGUACGCCGAUCAACCUCCUCGCUGUAAACGGAGGUAUUAUCUAAAGGAGACAUUCGGAGCCUCGUAUGACAAUUAGGGGACAUUCAAGAAAGAAAUUGCAGAUGAUGGUAACGUUUAUUUAUCGACGUGGGGACGACUGAAUGCAAUUUACUACUUUAUCAUUUUAAAUGGAUUCUACAGUGCAGAUGCAUGUAAAAAGCCACUUUGGAAGAUCUCGUCCAGGAUCCUGAGGACAGGAGACAAUCGGGCUCCAUAGUAGCCGCAAAGUUCCCUUACUUAUAUUAAUCUAUUGUCAUUCAUUCAUUUGAAUUACUGCCUUUUAAAUGCUGAGUCUCCUGUUAAUUAUAUGUGAACAUCGCCCCCCCGUCCCGCAUCAUGACAUCAUCAUGACAUCACUGUUACCGCUACCAAAGCCCCUGUCGGCUGCUUUGUUACAGCCGUGUGAACCCAAAGUAAAGAGACGCUGAAACGACAACCGGCGAUGUGUGAGAGUCGGACGUCAGCGCUGUAGCCGCUCCGUCAACCCUGGGAGUAAGGUGACGUGGGCGUGAAUGUUACCGGUUUGUCCCGCGCUACGCACAUCAACACACACAGCCCUCAUCUGCUGCCACACAGCAGACGGAAGACACAUCAGAUUUCAGUCAAAAGAGACGGAAACGAGAAGACGACAAAAGAAGCUCGGAGACGAUCGCACAGAAACAGGGAGGGAAAUAUCGACUGUGUCCCAACCGUCCCAAUGACAGCUCGUCUUCGUCCCUCCUCAUACACCCCCCCACACACACACAACGCCCUACGAGCGUUGGCCACGGGAGGGAUGGGGGGGGUCAGAGGGCAACGUGGACGUGACGUGAGGAAGAGACGAAGAGCGAGGGAGGCGUUGGAUGAUGAUGGAGGGGGGGGGGGCUGCGUGGGGCAGAUACCUGGUGAGUAACGGCGGCCUGAAGCUAAAUAACUCCUCGCUAGAACUACGCAGGAGGAUCCUCGCUGUGUGUUUGUGUUACAGGAGCAUAUACACAACACACUGUGUAUAUGCAGAGAGCACCAUGGAGAGGUUAAGUGAAGAAGAGGAGGAUGCUAAACAACUGUGAGGAGAUGAAGAGGCAUCCAAAGGAGGGGGGGGGGGGGUCAAAGCAUCCAACAAACAUGGAGACAGGAAGCAGAAAGAGCGCAGCAAUCAAUGAGAAGAAGGGGGAGAAGGCGGGACCAGGAGACCAGUGGAGGAGAGUGAAGGUCCACCUGAAGGUCUCGAUGUGUCCGUCCUGAGCUCUGAGUCACACGACUCAGCAGCAGGUCUGAGCGUCACCGGUUCAACGGGCGGCAGCCCAAAUACACAAAUACUAAUAACAAACAGCACGGAUACGCCGUCGGCGCGCCGUUGUCAUAGAAACAGGAAGUGACGGGAGCUCCCGGCGCCCUGCGGCCGCUCCUCCGCCCGUAGACCUUCCUUCGCUGAGCCAGGAAGUCAAAGAAAGGAGGCCAGGAAGAAGGUGAGAAGAGGUGGGAAGCCCGUUGGGGGGGCGGGGGGCAAUUAGUAAGGAAGGGAAGUGACUCUCUCCCUCGGGUUGGUUGAACGUUGGAUGUGAGGCUCUGUGUUCUGUUAAAUAGGCGACGCCGCGCAAAGAGAGCAGUGUAGAUGAACGCACACAAACCCACUCACAUGCAGCACUGUGAUCGGCUCUGUCGAGACUUUGCACCCCCAACGCUCACAUGUCGGCAACAUGCAACGCACACAAACCCCGGUUUUACGUAAGUGUGUCGCACACCCACUCGCUGGGAGUUGACGCCGUGCAGAGCAUGGAGGUGAAGGGGGGGGGGUUCAUUUCCUCUCGUUUUCAACCAGCGGGGCUGAAUGCCGAUGUCGAUGCUGAAUGCGUGGAACGAGAACAACAUCAACGCGAGAAACAACAUCCAGCUGCAUCGCUGGAACUGGAAUCGGGAGGCGUAAUGAAGUGAGAGAGGCAGAUGUAACCAGCAGGCUGUGGCUCCAGUGCGUUGAAGCUGCAUUCUCUGUACCGUCCACUAGGGGGCGACUCCUCCGCUCCGACACAGGCCUGUAAAACAACAUGGCCACGGCCGUAACACCAAGAGGCCGAUGGAGGACUGUUGCAAUUCACCCAACUGAAGGGCACAGGUUGCAAAAGUCCUACUUAUUCAUUCUAAGUGUAGCUCCACUGGUGUGGAGGCAGAUUUCACGGCCUCGCAGCAGGAAGCUUCUUCCUCGUGUGCAUUUGUUCGUGUUUUCCUUUUGGAAUUAAGAGGUUUCCUGGGCGGCGGAAGUGUUGGUUUCCAUUAACUGUCUGGGGCCUUUAAAAUCGCCUUGAGGCGUCAAACCAGCGUGUUUGAUGCAGGCGGGUCGCAGGCUGCCGGAGCGCCGUCUGGCACUCACGGCGCUCUCUUCAGCUUGAUGGCGGUUGCGUCAUCCGCUCUGUGUCGCGUCUCCUUCCAGCUGCAGCCGAGCCUCCACCGCUGACUGAGGGAAGUCAUUUAGCAGUAUAGUGCUGUAGUAUUACUGUGCAAACUCUACAAUGUCAAAUAUUUUUCACUACACAUUUGCUGUAAAUUACUGUGACUCGGUAGAAGCUUAAUACUACGGUAAUACUUAAAAAGCAUGAAAUACUUUUUCUGUGAGGAGUCACUCAAAAUAGAUUUUCUAAAUGCUUCUUGACAUAGAAUGUAACUUAGACGUCACAUGACAUCGCGUCCGGCAGCUUUAUAUCUCUUUUUAUCGGACACGUCUGAGUGAGGAGAUGUAAUGACAGACUGACAGACUUCCGUUACGUCCAGUAAGUAGUUGAAUUAAAUAGUAAUAAUUCUUCCUUUGCCCCAAACUAACUGGAUGUAAUAAUCAUUUAAGCUCACGGUUCAUAUCCGACCUUUAGAGGUCAUCAGCCCUCCAUCAUCAGUCCUUCUCUAGAAGUCAUCAGUCCUUCUCUAGAGGUCAUCAGUCCUCCUGUAGAGGUCAUCAGCCCUUCUCCAGAUGUCAUCAGCCCUUCUCUAGAGGUCAUCAGUCCUUCUCCAGAUGUCAUCAGCCCUUCUCCAGAUGUAAUCAGCCCUUCUCUAGAGGUCAUCAGCCCUUCUCCAGAUGUCAUCAGCCCUUCUCCAGAUGUCAUCAGCCCUUUUCCAGAUGUCAUCAGCCCUUCUCUAGAGGUCAUCAGUCCUUCUCCAGAUGUCAUCAGCCCUUCUUUAGAGGUCAUCAGUCCUUCUCCAGAUGUCAUCAGUCCUUCUCUAGGGGUCAUCAGACCUCCUGUUGAGGUCAUCAGCCCUUCUCCAGAUGUCACCAGUCCUUCUCUAGAGGUCAUCAGACCUCCUGUUGAGGUCAUCAGUCCUUCUCCAGAGGUCAUCAGACCUCCUGUUGAGGUCAUCAGUCCUUCUCUAGAGGUCAUCAGACCUCCUGUAGAGGUUAUCCGGAGUCAGUGAUAGACUCCCUGCUGUGAGUCAUUCUUUGUAAAAAGGUUCAGAGCUUUACAGAGACAUGAAUCUGAAAAGCCCGGCGACAAACUGAAUGAACAGAGAAAAGCCUGAGGCAAUAAAGAGACUAAGGAGGAACAGAAGGAACCGAUAAGAGACACUGGAGAGUACGACAAAUAUCAGGUUUGAUUUGUAGUUCAGUGCCUAAUAUCAGCUUCAAUCUUCCAUCUGUAACGAGUGAAUAUCCUCUUUGGCCACAGGUUGAGAAUAAAGCCUUGGGAUGAAUUCAGGUAUCAGUGAUGAUACCAAUGUUCUCGAGGUGGAGAUUCCUUUUAGCUCCGGCUUUGGUCCCCACCGACUCCCAGCGACCGCGAGCAGAAGCCUGCGAAGCUCAGCCGAGUCGAGAGCAGCUGCAGAUUUGGUGAUCAAUUAUUUUCAGACAUUUUGUAGAUCGUUAUUAAGUGUAAGUAGUGCGAGUAGUGAGCCAUUACGCUCAAUUUGAUUUCUGAUCCGCUCCCUGGCCGAGUUCAUCUGUGGCCCUUUGUCUGUUUCUCUUUCAUUUACUCGCCCUUCAGAAGAACCGCCUUCUUUUUGCAACCGUCCACCUAAAAAGUGAGUUACUACAAGUCAUCCAUCCCCAAAAUGGGUCUCAAUCUUUCGUUUUGAUGCUUCAGGGCGGGGCUACACGAUGAUUGACAGGUCGACAACACAGACGUACAUAAUUCUCAAUCCUUAAAUGGUGACGUCCUCCUCACUUUUAUAAGAAAAGCAUCACGGACAAAUCAUUUAGGUGAAGAGUGAGAACUCCAGCGCGUGUUUAUUUACUGAAAACUACAGUAUUUCAGAUGGAAUUCAUCUGUAACUUGAUCACAACACGGUUUCCAGCUGUGAUGUAAUCACGCUGCUUCGCUUCAUCAGAACUCGACAACGGGAGAGAAAACUCCCUAAAUGGCAACUGGAGUAUUGUUUGUACAGUCGACAAUAAUACAUGCGAGUACUUGUUUAUGCCUUUAAUCACAUUUAUUAAAUCAUCUCCGUGGCUGAUUAUUUUUAGAGCAGUUUCUGGCGACGUUUGGUUCCUUUUGGACGACGCUGGAGAUAAAAUGUAGUUUCAUUUGCCAGCGCGCGAUGAGAGGAGGUGGAGGGAAGGAACAGAUGGAGGUUACUGGAAGAAGAAACCAACAAUAAUGUUUACAAAAGAGAAGGAAGCGAAACACCGGACGGAAUCUGCUCCGCGGCGUAACUUCUCUCCUGAAACCGUCGUUUAUUGAUGAGGCUUUGGGGACGUUUGUCAGAAGGCGAAUCAGCCGACGAGAGAUGAGAUGAGAUGAGAUGAGAUGAGAUGCGAUGUCCCCCCCUUGGAUACAUGGAGACAUGUGGAGGUUUUAUGUAUUCAACUUUUAGAUCCCCGAUCAGGUCUUUUCGCUAUGAAUUGCUGAUCAAUAUUGACGGAUACAGAUCUGUGGUUUCUUUAUAGCAGCUGGUCUACGAGGGUCAACAAUGUUCAUUUUCACCGUCGCCGAAGUCAAACUUCCUUCCUGCCUUCAAAAGAAACACACAAUUCAAAAGAUAAUGAAAUAAAUAACUGUUUCUUGAGUGAAACGAAUCGUUUCUUCAUAACGUGUCAUGAGCUGCGUUCACGCCGUUAAACCACACGGCGCAGAAUAAACACCGACAUUCACGGAACCGUCGUUCCGUCACGCCGACUGGGCUUCAGGGGAAGAAAGUCCUAUUUCCCUUUGUGGCCGCGCUCGUGAAAGCGCCCGCCGGGACGGGCCGCGCAGCCCCGCCGUCCCGUUUCUAGACCACGGCGGUGGUCUUCCAGCCGCUGCAGGGGGACGGUUCCUCUGACCGGACAGCUUCGUGGUCCAGGAGCAGAAGUGACCGGGAACAAAAUAGACUAUGAGGGACACAAAUGACACGAAACCGAUAAAAACAACAACGCAAAAUGAAACCGAAGCUUCAGGCGGUGAGACUCCAACAAGCGGAGUGUCUCUACUGUCCGGUGCCUCCUUCCCUUCGCCGCUGCCUCGUUUCCUCUGUCCUAGCUCGCUGCUUUGCUUCAAUUAUCAGCCGCCAGGUGUGGACACACACACACACACACACACACACAUUCCCUCAAACUGAAGUGGGAGCGGAAAACAAUGGCGGCGAUAUUGCAGGCUGGUGGCGAACGAGAACGUGGGCGAGCGAGGAUUAAUUACAGAUAUGAGAGAGAGAACAUGUGAGAGGAUGGGGGGGGGUGGGGGGGGAUGUGAUAUUUGGGAAGCCGCCUGCGUGAUGGUCACUCAGAGGACGCAGUCGUGCUGAUUAAACGUGAACAACACAACGAGUCGACGGCUGGAAGUGGUUCUUCAAGUUAAAUUCUCAUUUCAGACUCUAACAGGAGAAGAUUCAUCUAGAAAAGGACCUGCAGAUGAAAGUCUCACAUGAAGACAGGUUAGAAAUCCCUAAACAAAAGCGUGUGGCCUCAAUGUUUAGUUUAAGUCCUCUUCAACACAGUGGAACGCCCAUUUUAGUGGAUUUAAUGUGCUUUGGGGGCGGGGCUACAGCGUGAUUGACAGGUCUCUACUCCAUCAGGAAAAGUCACACUAGCCAAAUGUGUCGAAGAGAUGGAAAUCAAUGAAGAUCCACCAGGUCACUUCUGUGAGUCGCCGAGACGUUGAGUUGUGUUUGGUUUUCGUUGCGUUGCGUCGUGUUUUUGUCGCGUUGUGUUACAGUUGCGUUGCAUCAGAUGGAAGAAAACCUCUACGACUACGCAGUGAGGCAACAUGUGUGAAUGCAUGAGACACGUCAUUGACCAGUGAUCCACACACACACACACACACAAUCAAUAGAGCUGAUUAAGCAGCUGGGCAGAGACAAAUAGUCCAUUACGUGUGUGUGUGUGUGUGUGUGUGUGUGUGUUUAUCGUUUGUUUGUCAUUGUUUACAUGUUACAUGCGUGUGUGUGUGUGUGCCGGGGGCCUCGGUUCGGAGGACGUGUUGAUCCCAGCGAGUCUCGCGUGGACGAGAGGAAGAAACUCACAGUCCAGAGACAACGACGCAAGAAAGGUGGAAAAACUAAAAGCUUUAUUUUGUCUGCUGCGCCUGAAUAAAUCAUCUGCUCGGAGUUCACCAAUGACUGAUGAAUUAGUAACUCAGCGCCCACGUGACCUUUAGCCUGCCGGGGUUUAGGAAGACUUCCUCGGUGGACUCUUCAGAUGCUGUUAGUCAUCAUUAGUAUUACUUGAGCUGACUAAACUGGACCAUGGCACAUCAUUUGGGGAUUUUAUUACUAAAUAAAAGUUUAUUUUAUCGUUUACACACCCUCCAUCUCAACAUAUCGUUCUUCUGGCACCAUUUGCCAUAAAAAUCCAUCUAAAAGAAGCAGAAAUCUGUGAACGAUCCGUCUCUUUUCUUACAGGUGGUCUUUGCAAUGCUGGCAAAUGGAAGCGUCCGGUCUCCACAUCCCUUGUAUUUGGAACUGAUGUUGGAUGAGAGAAGACGGAGCUGAACUCCUGUUCGUCGUGGAGUCAGCAGAUAGUGGCUGUAGUCUUGGAGGUUGACCCCUCCCUGCACGAGCUUGAAGAAGCCCCCCGUCACACUUCCUGACUCCCCUCAGCAGCUCAGCGCCUCUGAGGCCCUCAAACACCUGCUUUAAUACGCUUGUGUAACAGCGCUAAAGGCGACGUUUCCACACACACACACAAAUAUAAGAAACGGGAAUAAAACUCAAUUCUGGAGAAGAAAGACUCAAGUCGUCUCUUAUAGUGCAGAAGGUACCUCGGUACAGCAGAAGAUACCGAGAAGCUCACGCGAACGACAGGAGAUCCUUUGAUUCUCUUCGUCUUGUCUUCAUUUUACACAGCACAGCGUUAACUAAAUAUAGAAAUGAUGUCACACGGUAGAUAAACUAUAUGCUCUCGUGCCGAACGCGGCUCUUCUGUGUCAUGACGCCAGUAAAACCAGACAAACCCGGAGCAUCACGGGUUGACGUGGCAGAAGGACUCAAUUGCAGAUUUCAAUAACAAAAACGGCUUUAUUCCACAAAAUCAAAAGGCCUGGGGGGCAAAACUCACCACACGACACUCGACAUAUGAAGCUCAAUAAACCCACCUGGCCUAAAUACACUGGGACUGUGUGGAAACAAUCGGGGACACGGCAGAUAAUCCCAGGGGACGACGCAGGAAGUGAAGCUCACCCAGGUACGACGACGCAGGGCUACUGAACUACAAAAACACUUCAUAUAUUGUUCAUAGUUUGAAGUCAAAAAGUUUGAAGCUGUAUUUUGAAACCAAGAGUGUUUAUGUAUUCAUUUAUAUUUACAGUAUUGUUUCAAUAGUUAAUAUAUUGCUCAAUUCAAAGAAAGAAAUUACCUUUGCCAAUAAAAGAAAACCUUUCCUUAAUGUCGUCAUUGGUUGAUUCUGUGUCUUU
Molecule: long non-coding RNA, 9422 nt
Organism: Gasterosteus aculeatus aculeatus (three-spined stickleback)
Lineage: Eukaryota; Metazoa; Chordata; Actinopteri; Perciformes; Gasterosteidae
Source: Ensembl